Molecule: ribosomal RNA, 253 nt
Filed under: uncultured bacterium
Lineage: Bacteria
Description: partial 16S ribosomal RNA
Rfam family: Bacterial small subunit ribosomal RNA
Source: RNAcentral
UACGGAGGGUGCGAGCGUUGUCCGGAAUCACUGGGCGUAAAGGGCGCGUAGGUGGCGACCCACGUCAACGGUGAAAGCUCGACGCUCAACGUCGAGUCGGCCGUCGAUACUGGGUUGCUCGAGCACUGUAGAGGCAGAUGGAAUUCCGGGUGUAGCGGUGGAAUGCGUAGAGAUCCGGAAGAACACCGGUGGCUAAGGCGGUCUGCUGGGCAGUAGCUGACACUGAGGCGCGACAGCGUGGGGAGCAAACAGG